This 467-nucleotide ribosomal RNA is filed under the name uncultured bacterium. RNAcentral describes it as "partial 16S ribosomal RNA". It matches the Rfam family "Bacterial small subunit ribosomal RNA", at positions 29 to 507 of the family's 1533-position model. The record is from RNAcentral.
ACGAACGCUGGCGGCGUGCUUAACACAUGCAAGUCGAACGGAAAGGCCCUGCUUUUGUGGGGUGCUCGAGUGGCGAACGGGUGAGUAACACGUGAGUAACCUGCCCUUGACUUUGGGAUAACUUCAGGAAACUGGGGCUAAUACCGGAUAGGAGCUCCUGCUGCAUGGUGGGGGUUGGAAAGUUUCGGCGGUUGGGGAUGGACUCGCGGCUUAUCAGCUUGUUGGUGGGGUAGUGGCUUACCAAGGCUUUGACGGGUAGCCGGCCUGAGAGGGUGACCGGCCACAUUGGGACUGAGAUACGGCCCAGACUCCUACGGGAGGCAGCAGUGGGGAAUAUUGCACAAUGGGCGGAAGCCUGAUGUAGCAACGCCGCGUGCGGGAUGACGGCCUUCGGGUUGUAAACCGCUUUCGCCUGUGACGAAGCGUGAGUGACGGUAAUGGGUAAAGAAGCACCGGCUAACUACGUG